UCUACAUUACUUAUGAAAAUACUGGUAGUUUAUUGCAGAAUGACAUGUACUGAUACUGUAUGAUUAUUUUAUGAUUUACAGCAACAGACACCGUGGUAACAGGCUGCUUAAGGUCAUGAGAGAGAUGGCACAGAGAAUUAUGUUUAUUGACAUUUGUGAACACACAAAGUUCUGGUCCAACAGAGACAAAUAUUUCUAAACCAGCAGGCAAUGGAGCUCUCCAUUAUUGAUUAGAAGGGUAUUACAACAUCGACAUUCAGGAAAACCUGGCCUUAUUAACAUGUAGAGGUCUUUCAUCUAAGAUCAUAGCACCAGCUGCAAUCCAGAACCUAGAAUUCAGCGCCACUAAGUAGUAAAUUCAUAGACCAUUAGUUUUACGUCCAGGAUCCCUCUUCAACUGAAAAUUUAUCAGACAAUGGUUGUACAGUUAUAUCUGGAUCUCAAGACAUUUACGUAACAGUAACUUAGUCUUUACAGUCAACCAAUUCUACUAGACUUAAGUAGACAAAGACUGAUGAAAGUACUAAGGUGGAUCCCAGUUUAACUGAGAAGUAACUAAGCUUGCAGACCAGCAGUUGUGCAUAACUAUUUGCUUACCAGCUCCUAUGAAAUUGUAUGUAAUGUUUAAAAGAAAGUUUUUCGAUACAGCAAUAUGAAUCUGAAUUAGAAUAAUGGGCCUCGCAGUGCAAUUCUAUUUAAACAAAGAAGUUGAGAUUUUAAAACCAGUAAAUAUAGAAUCACCUGUAGUGAUUAGCGACUUCUUUAAUUCUUUUGAUUAUGUGGAUGUUUAUGUUUUUAAAUUUGAACCCAAGAUGGAAACAUUCAGAUAUUGUUAUGUUUUUUUAGCUCACAUCAGUACAAAGAGGGCUGGAUGAACUCAUAACAGCUUGUCUAAUCAUACAUAACACAUAAUGAAUGUACAAAUUAUAUAUGUCAUACCAUGUGUGUCUUUCGCUCUGUCAGUUCAUAUGCUGCCAUUUGUUUAUUCAGGACUUUGAAUACUCAGGGAAAUCAGAAUCAUUAUGUUUUACAUAACAUGCCUUUCUUAUAUCUCAUUUUGUACAUACAUGUACAUAGCAUAGACAAUACAUUUUUAGCUCGACUAUUCAUAGAAUAGUAGCGCUAUUGAACUCGCCCAUGCGUCCGCGUCCAUGUCCCGAUUUAGUUAAGUUUUUGUAUGUAAGCUGGUAUCUCAGAAACCACUUGUGGGGAUGAAUUGAAACUUCUCACACUUAUUCACUGUGAUAAACUGACUUACAUUGCACAGGUGAAUAACUCUAUUUUGCUUUUUUACAAAAUUAUGCCCCUUUUUUUACUUAGAAAUUUUUGGUUAAGGUUUUGUAUGUAAGCUGGUAUCUCAGUAACCACUUGUGGGAAUGGAUUGAAAGUUCACACACUUAUUUACUGUGAUAAACUGACUUACAUUGCACAGGUUCCAUAACUCUAUUUUGCCUUUUUACAAAAUUGUGCCCUUUUUUCGACUUUUGUACUCAUUCAAUUUGGCAAGGCUGUUGAAUAGUUGAGCAUUGCUGUCCUCCGACAGCUCUUGUUAAUUUAUAUGUAAGUAUACUGUCUGUAAUUCUGUAGCAGUUUCAUCCUCACUUAAUUGAUGCUAAGCAUUUUGUUACAUCACUCGGGGAAUACACAUCUCAUGUCAUAUUAUCAUAUACUAGUACCUGUUUGAAUUGAUAGCACAGGUUUAGGCUUAAAUUGGAGUAAAAAAUGAGCUUACAGAAGUGUAAAUAUGUUCCUCUUCUAGCCUGUUAUUUAUUUUUUAGUUCUUGUUUGUAUACUAAGAUUUGAAGUGUUUUCCGUAUUGUUUUGUACAUAAACAUGCAUUGUUUAAGUUGAAUUUACAUGUAAAUAAGUUGUCUAUACAUGUAUAUAUCUUGUGUUUGGUUUUUUAGGAAGGAAAUACAGAUUGUUGUGUUAUUAUGUAGCAGACCGCAUUGUAAAUGAGAUACUUGUAUACUUACCUUAUCAAUAUAAUUUUUGAAAAAAAAACAAAUAUUACACAGGAGCAUUUUAACAUUGUGUCCGUGGUAAAUUUUGUGCAAAUCUUUGUCACCCUUCAGAUCUGUUAACAAGGGACAUAAAUACAAAACACGCUUUUUUGUCUUUCAAAUGAAAUAAAGAUAUUCUGGUUAGAAAAGCUUUACAAAUUUCCUUUGACCUCCACAUCCUAGAAAUGUUUAAUGGUUUUAUAUUGCUUUUAAAUGAGUAUAGUUUUUAAUGAUAGUUUUAAAAUGUAAAGGGUGUAAAGUGCAUUCAUCUUAUGAAUGGGGUAUACAGUGUUUUAGAUAGUUCAGCAAUGAGUAAGAAAUAAAGAAAAUCAAUGGUAAUCAUUUAGAAUGCAGAAGUAAAAAUUAUACGAAAACAAGUAAUUAUAAAGAAUUUGCAAAUUAAUGUCUUUUUUAGAUAAAACCGGAUCUGCUUUGAUGCAUUCUAUGCCUCCAAAGUGUCUUUUUGACCGAUUGUAAUAUUUCAUUUUUGUUUCCAUAAUGGCUUUUAAACAGAGAUGUGUUUUUAUAUACAUAUUCUGCUGGUAUGAUACACUCUUAUAGUUUUCCAUUAUACUGCUUUCAGCAAUUUAAAUCAGUGUAAAGUUAUAUUGCAUUGGCUAUUGCACAGACUAUAGUAUACAGCAUUAACUCCCCCUGUCAGCUGUUCUGAUUAUGAUUUUUUUUAUAGAUUUUAACUUCCAUCAAGAACUAUACUCUUUUAAAUUUUAAUGUUGGAAAUGAUUUGAUUUUCUUUAUAUAUAUAUUUUUAUUUGUAAUGUACAGUUUGGACCUUGUAUUUUCCAGUUACAUUUGUAAUUCACUUGUACAUAGUUUGUAUAUAACAUGUUUCAUUUAUGUCAAAAUGCAUAGUAAGUUGUAAGUGCUCUCAAUAACAAGUUGGGCCCUGGCAGACGAGUGAUUUAGGAGGCUGACUUCGAGUCACGUACUUGCUCCUCUCUACUUACGGUUUGAAAUGGGUCAGUGGUUCUACCUAGAUAUCAGCCAAUGCAUGAAUAUGAUGGGAGCACUGGGUACACUUGGGCCCCACCAUAUCAAAAGCAGAGAAGUUGUUUUAUGACAUGAUUGUGUUGACUGGAUGUUAAACAUGAUAAAAUGAUAAAACAUACUCUCAAUUUAUCAAUGAUGUCCGCUGCCAAGCUAACCAUUUCAAAGGAUUUUGGAAUUGUGUAUUUGUCAAACUUGUAAAUAUGUAAAUAAACAUCCCAUUUUUUUGCUGAGGUUGUGAAUAUGAAUGGGCAGCAGUGCUUAAAGUUUUGUUUCAAUGUGUAAUUUAUGUACAUUUUAUUGUUUAUUUACCGCUGGUGUAACAGACUCUGUGUUACAGUUCAGUCUUUAGAAUAGUGCAGUUAAAUAGGUUAAACUAGUUUAGUUACUGUCUGUUCUGUAUAUAUGUAUACAUAUACAUAUAUUUCUGUGUGUACAUACAUGUAAUUUUAUUCAGUUAAGCUUUGAUGUAAAAAAGUGUAUAUUAUUUUUGUCUUCAUUCAGACAAUGAUAAUGUUUGAAAUAUAAUGGGGAAUUUGUUAAAUGAACUCAGUAUUAUGAGUAUACGCUAUUUAGUCCAAGAGCAUGAGAAGGGAAAUAACUGUUGUAAUGUGGAAUUUGUUAAAUGAACUCAGUAUUAUGAGUAUACGCUUUUUAGUCCAUGAGCAUAAGAAGGGAAAUAACUAUUGUAAUGUGAAUUUGUUAAAUAAACUCAGUAUCAUGAGUAUACACUUUUUAGUCCAAGAGUGUGAGAAGGGAAAUAACUGUUGUAAUGUGAAUUUGUUAAAUGAACUCAGUAUUAUGAGUAUACGCUUUUUAGUCCAAGAGUGUGAGAAGGGAAAUAACUGUUGUAAUGUGAAUUUGUUAAAUGAACUCAGUAUUAUGAGUAUACGCUAUUUAGUCCAAGAGCAUGAAAAGGGAAAUAACUGCUGUAAUGUGAAUUUGUUAAAUAAACUCAGUAUUAUGAGUAUACGCUUUUUAGUCCAAGAGCAUGAGAAAGGAAAUAACUGCUGUAAUGUGAAUUUGUUAAAUAAACUCAGUAUCAUGAG
Molecule: long non-coding RNA, 4057 nt
Organism: Mercenaria mercenaria
Lineage: Eukaryota; Metazoa; Mollusca; Bivalvia; Venerida; Veneridae
Exons: 3
Source: RefSeq, a predicted model, not a curated record